UGAGUCGUACUUUGGAAAUUUAUAUUCAUUUAAUAAAAGAUAAAAAAAAUAAAAAUAAAAUCUUUAAAAAAAAAGAAAGCUUUUAUCUAAUAAAUACAAAUUUCAUAGGUACAGCUUUAGGAAUAUAGUGGUUCUUCCCCACUACUGAUGGCUUUUUAAGAUGAGGGAGAGAGACGCCACACACAUGUGUGUUUGUGCACACACUCACUGUCUCUCAUCAGGUGACAUCCUGAGCCUCCUUAGAACUCUGCCAGCAAGAAGACCAUCCCCAGAUGUGGCCCCUCAGCUUUUGGCCUCUAAAACCAUGAGCCAAAAUAAACCUCUUCUCUUUGUAAAGUCAUUUAAUAUCACAUAUUUCAUUAUAGUAACACAAAAUGGACUCAUACAAAUGAUAUUCCAGAUUUGAGGACGAUAUUCUGAGCUGAUUUUUUUUAAGUUAUUAGAGAGAGAAUAGUAUUAACAUCCACUGGUUCACUCCCCAUUUGCCCAAAAGGGUCAAGGCUGGGCCAAAGCCAAAGCCAGGAGUCAGGAAUUCAAUCCAGGUUUUCAACAUGGGUGGCAAAGACCCAAUCACUUGAGCCAUCACUGCUACCUCCCAGGAUCAGAUCUGCAUUAGCAAGAACCUGGAGGUAGGAGUUGGAGUCAGGUAUCAAGCCCAGGUACUCUGAUAUGGGAUAAGGAUAUCAUAACCACAAGGCCAAAUGCCUGUGGGUGAACUUCCAAGAGUCCUGACUGAUGUGAAAAUACUACUUGCUAAUGAACAUGCAGCAAAGGUGAUCACAGUCUUCUGUCCUGAGCUCUCUGCAGCCUCAGCUGUUUUCUAUUCAAUAGCUGGGAGCAUAAAGAAGAGUCUUUGCCCUAAAGUUGUAACUGUGAAAUAAAUGGAGUUUGUAACUGUAAAGCAGUAUAGUCCUGCAUACAUUCCUAUGGGCUUACUUCUAAGGGUACAGCUUAAGAACUUGCCAUGGGACCCCAAAUCCUCUUAAGCUAGGUGGUAAAAAUAGCAUUCUAAGUGUUACAGAGAUCAUGUGGAUACGAUUAAGUGUUAAAGUGAUCAUAUAGAUAGGAUCAAGUGUUAGGGUAAUCAUAUAAAUAGGAUUAAGGGGCCCACAGGGCUGUGGUGCAGUCGUGCAAUGCGUUAAAGCCCUGGCCUGAAGCACCAGCAUCCUAUAUGGGCCCUGGUUCUAGUCCUGGCUGCUCCUCUUCUGAUGCAGCUCUCUGCUAUGGCCUGGCAUAGCAGUGGAAGUAUGGCCCAAGUCCUUGGGCCCCUGCACCCACGUGGGAGACCCGGAAGAAGCUCCUGGCUCCUGGCUACAGAUCAGCACAGUUUCAGCCAUUUGGGGAGUGAACCAGCAGAUGGAAUACCCCUCUCUCUGUAACUCUGUCUUUCAAAUAAAUAAAACAGAUUUAAAAAAAAAUAAUAAGUGUUUGGUAAUAAUAAUAAACAAAAUUUAAAAAGAGUGAAUGCUCCAACAUGAGAAGCACUCCACACAACAGACUCAUAGAAUGACAGUCACCUUAAGUAGCAUUCUGACCUCAGAAUCAACCCUUAAGGCAUUUUGAUUUGGCUGAAAAGCUCAUGAGAGCAUUUCAGGCAUGGAAAGCCAAGAAACUGUGGCAAAAAAUGUUCUACACUGAGGAUGAGACCCCAGUGAAAAGAAGCAGUCACCAAAGAAGGAUGAACUUUCCUCUGAAGGGAGGAGAGUGCUUCCACUUUGCCUGUGGCCUUGUCAAAAUACUGAAGGAAUGUGUGGAUCCAAAAGCCUUCCAUAGCCUAUGCAGCUCAUCUCAAGAGCCUCAGGUGAUCACUGACAUCAUAUGUAAGAGUGUUAUUUGUUCAAUUAACAAUUUACUGUGCACUAACUUCCCGUGCAGGACCUCUGUCCUCAAAGGGUUGUAUUUUGAGACUUCAUGGUAAAACUUGUUCUCAAAGAAUUUGUUUUAGUGGAGGAUAUUCUUAUGUCACAUAAAUUAUAGUUAUCUCUAAGUGUUCACAAAAGAUGUAUCAUUCUUGGAUUUAUCUUUAAAGAUAAUUAAGUUUCUAAAAAAAAGACAAAAUUAUCAUAGAGAUGCAAUGACUUUGAACAGCCCUUGUCUGGACUAUUGAGGAACAGUUUUUGUUCUUGUUUUUUUUUUUUUUUAUGCUUUUGUUUUUAGUUUGUUUGUUUGCUUGUUUUGUUUUUCUUUCUCUCUUUUUCUUCCUCAUACAAACUGCUAAACUCUUUACCUAGAAUAGAGUUAAUCUUCUGUGUAUAAAGUUAAAUGAAAAUAGAUCUUAGUAAAAAACAAGACUGGAACAUGAGAGGGAAGGGGAAGUGAGGAAGGAGUGUAGGUGGGAAGGCGGGUAUGGUGGGAAGAAUUACUAUGUUCCUAAAACUGUAUUUAUGAAAUGCAUGCAAAUAAAUAAAAAAGAAUAUUUGUGUGGAACUUCUGUCAGGAAGAUCUAUAUCCAGUUACCCUCUGGGUGUUUCUUUGUUUGUUUGUUUGUGACAGAGUUAGUGAGAAAGAGACAGAGAGAAAGGUCUUCCUUCCAUUGGUUCAUCCCCCAAAUGGCCGCCACGGCUGGCGCACUGCACCAAUCCGGAGCCAGGAGCCAGGUGCUUCUUCCUGGUCUCCCAUGCGGGUGCAGGGCCCAAGCACUUGGGCCAUCCUCUACUGCCUUCCUGGGCCACAACAGAAAGCUGGACUGGAAGAGGAGCAACCGGGACUAGAACCCGAUGCCCAUAUGGGAUGCCGGCACUGCAGGCAGAGGAUUAGCCUAGUGAGCCACUGCUCUGGCCAACUCUCUGUGUUUCUAUAAAUUGAGUCUUGGUUGAUGGUGAAAGAGCUGAGAACUUCCAUAUUGGUAGAACAACGGGUUGUUUUAUUCUGGUAAUCUGCUUUUGCCUGUGAGGGAUCAAGCUGAACCUUUUUCUUCUUAUUCUCUUCCUGCAAAAUAAAUGCAAUUACAACUUCCCUUUGUCAAAGUUUGCUUAUGACCACCCAAAAGGAAUCACUUAGAGGACUGAGAAUUUGAGCUGCUUCUGUACCUCUGAACAUGGAUGUACAUGUCGUCUAGAUGUGGAUUCCUGACCACCAAUUACAGGAAUGAAUAAUAUCAUCUAUAAAAGGUUGUGAUGCAAUCUGUAACACAAUCAUCUCAUCAUAUUGUCUUGAAGUUUCUAGGCAAAAUGCCCAAGGCCCAGUGAAGUAAAUUCACAUACGCUGAUGACUCCACCCUGGUUUAUCGCUCCAUCACUGGUUUUCAUCCGUUCCUCUCCUUAUGCCUCCUGACUGUUAGACCUUCUUUUUCCACUGACCCAGUGAAAGAGCAGUCCUAACUUGCUCAUUAAAUAGGAAACAUAGUCUGACAGCCUGAGAAAGCCACUUGGCCAUUUGGAAGCAAUCACAUUUUGUGUAUCAGAAGCAAAUAUUAUCCUUUGUUUUUCCCAAAGAAACGUUUCGUUUAAGGAACACAUUUCAUGCAUUUUGUAAGUACAACUUUAGGAAUAUAGUGAUUCUUCCCCUAUACCUGCCCUCCCACCCACACUCCCAAAUAUUAUCCUUUUUGCAGCUGGAACUUCCAGUGCCUCAAGGCCUUGAUGAAUUCUGUUUUGGUGGAAGCCACCACUCAGACACAAUCAGACACUUACUACCCAAGGUGAGGGCAGACCCCACAGGGUAAGGGCACCACUCUUAAGAAAACUGCCUUCCUUUUAGGUGUCAACAGCAAGUUUGGAGGCCCUCAGAUCACCCAUACUUCUGACCAACUGGCUACAUAGUGGACCCCUCAAUGUCAAUAGUUCAUUAGAAAAACUCAGAGAAGGGGCCAGCACUGUGGUAUAAUAGGCUAAGCUUGCAGCACUGGCAUCCCAUAUCGACACUGGUUCAUGUUCCAGCUGCUCUUCCAAUCCAGCUCUUUGUUUAUGACCUGAGAAAGCAAUGGAAGAUGGCCCAAGUCCUUGGAUGAAACUCCUUGCUCCUGGCUUGGGAUCAGUCCAACUCUGAGGAGUGAACCAGCAGAUUGAAGACCUUUCUCUCUGUCCCUCUCCCUCUCUGUAACUCUACCUCUCAAAUAAAGAAGAUCCUUGGCGGGGGGAGUCAUAGCAGGCACAAAUCAAGACCAGCCAAAUGAAGACAUAUAGUUGAGGUCUGGGAGGGUCUCAGAUGCAGAACUUCCCUGCCCUUUCCCCAUGGAAUCAGGAUGUAUCCUCUACUAGCACGCCCAUGUGUUCACCAUUGAGGAGGAGCUUUGGUGUCUAGAGGUUUUACAGGGGUUUCAUUGUGUAGGCAUGAUUGCUUGAGUCAUUUUUUUUUUUUUUUUGAUAGGCAGAGUGGACAGUGAGAGAGAGAGACAGAGAGAGAAAGGUCUUCCCUUGCCGUUGGUUCACCCUCCAAUGGCCGCCGCUGCAGCCGGCGCACCGCGCUGAUCCGAUGGCAGGAGCCAGGAGCCAGGUGCUUUUUCCUGGUCUCCCAUGGGGUGCAGGGCCCAAGCACUUGGGCCAUCCUCCACUGCACUCCCUGGCCAUAGCAGAGAGCUGGCCUGGAAGAGGGGCAACCGGGACAGAAUCCGGCACCCUGACCGGGACUAGAACCCGGUGUGCCGGCGCCGCAAGGUGGAGGAUUAGCCUAUUGAGCCACGGCGCCGGCUGAUUGCUUGAGUCAUUAACCACACAACUGAACUCAAACUCCAUCCCUCCUCAUCCUCAGAGGCCAGAAGGUCAGGCUGAUAUCAUAUGGCAGAGAAGAUAGAGGGUUGCAUAAUUUACCAUACCUUAAAACCCAAUAAAUGCUCCCUUUGAUAUGUUUUUUUUUAAGACUUAUUUUAUUUACUUGAAAGAGUUACAGAGAGAGGUAGAGACAGAGACAGAGAGAGAGGCCUUCCAUCCACUGGUUCACUCCCGAAAUGGCCACAUCAGCUGGAGCUGAGCCUAUCUGAAGCCAGGAGCCAGGACCUUCUUCCAAAUCUCCUAUGUGGGUGCAGGGGCCCAAGGACUUGAGCCAUCCUCUGCUGCUUUCCCAGGCACAUUAGCAGGGAGCUGGAUCAGAAGUGGAGCAGCCGGGACACGAACCAGCACCCAUAUGAAAUGCUGGAGCUGCAGGCCAGGGCUUUAACCUGCUAUGUCACAGCGCCAGCCUCCCUGAAUAUGUUUUUAUUUUUAAGAUUUAUUUAUUUAUUUAUUUAAAAGGCAGAGUUACAGAGAGAGAGGGAUGGCCAGCGCCGCGGCUCACUAGGCUAAUCCUCUGCCUGCAGUGCCGGCACACCAGGUUCUAGUCCCGGUUGGGGCGCCGGUUCUGUCCCGGUUGCCCCUCUUCCAGGCCAGCUCUCUGCUGUGGUCCGGGAGUGCAGUGGAGGAUGGCCCAAGUGCUUGGGCCCUGCACCCGCAUGGGAGACCAGGAGGAAACACCUGGCUCCUGCCUUGGGAUCAGCGCAGCGCCGGCCAUAGUGGCCAUUUUGGGGGUGAACCAACGAAAGGAAGACCUUUCUCUCUGUCUCUCUCUCUCUCACUGUCUAACUCUGCCUGGAGAGAGAGAGAGAGAGAGAGAGACAGAUCUUCCAUUCUCUGAUUUACUCCCCAAAUGAUCACAACAGCCAGAGCUGGGCCAAUUUGAAGCCAGGAGUCUAAAACUCCAUCCAGGUCUCCUACAUGGGUGUCACAGGCCCAAGUACUUGGACCAUCUUCUGCUGCCUUCCCAGGUGCAUUAGCAGGGAGUUGAACGAGAAGUGGAGCAGCUGUGACUCAAACCAGUGCUCAUAUGGGAUGCUGGUGUUGCAGGCAGCAGCUUAACCCACUUGGCCACAACAGUGGCCCAUGCAUAUAUUAGUACACUUGCAACUCAAUAUGCUUUUAAGCCAGGGUUAAAUCUGGCUGGAUAAAACAAAGAGUCCUAAACACAAUAGUAUAAACAAGAUAUAAGUUUGUUUUUGUGGGGAGCAACUCGGACUAGACUAAGUUACUGGAAUUAAGACUUAUUCUAUGCAUCUGCUCUCCCACAAUAUGGCGCUGGGAGAGGAGUAAACAACUUCUACACAGCUGCCUCUCGCCAACUUGACUGAUAAGCUGCAGGAGCUGAUCCUGCUCCUGAUUGGAGGAGAGCAGCGUACUCGGCGUGUGGGUAGCAGAGUUGGGAUUGGUGGAAGAGGACUAUAAAGGAGGAGAGAGACAACAUGCACCAGGAACAUCUAUCUGAAGGAACACCUGAGGAACAUCUGAGCAGCCCCCGAGAGAGCCAGCCGGUGGUGUGCCGCUCCCCUGCGGAAGUGGGGAAAGUGGCAGGGGGAGCCGCCCCUCCACGGAGUUGGAGGGGUCGGCAGCCAACCCGGGAAGGACCAGCAGCAAACCCGGGAAGGGCCGAGCAGACAAAAGAACAGCGCAGGGUCCAGUGUCGUUCCUCCACGAAUGGGGGAGCAACAGUUUUCAUUGCACAAAGGUUAGGUGACCCAGGGCUGAGAUGAUGAUUCAAUGAUCAUUAAGGGAUCAGGCUAUUUUUCUGUCAUCAUAUACAUGACUUCCACAUGCAAGAAACUUGGUAAUCCAAGAUAGCUGCAGUUUAUUCCAACUAAAGUUCAAACGGACAAUGAGUCCACAGAUAUCAACAGAUUCUCCCCAGUUUCAUUGUCAUGGGACUGUGGGAAAGGGAAGCAGUCUUGAGGUCCUUGCUUAUUAUGGGCUUGUCUUGUUCAUUCUCAAAUGAAGCUGGGAGAAUGACUCCAAGCUAAAAAGAUACUCUGUGUCAGGUUUAGAAGAUGUCUAUUUUGUUUUGUUUCUAUUUUUAGGACUAUAUAUGUAAUUUUAUUUUUACUUUUUAUGAGAGGGAGGGGAGGGAGGAAGGGAGGAAGAGAGAGAGAGAGAGAAACUGUGGUCUGCUGCUUUACUCUCCAAAUGUCCACAACAGUGAAGACUAGAUUGGGCUGAAGACAGGAACUCAAUCCAGGUCUCCUCCGUGGUGGCAGGGACCCAACCACUUAGGCAUCACUGAAGUCUCCGAGGGUCUGUGUUAGGGGGAGGUGGAGUCGAGAGCCAGAGCCAGAAACAGUCGCUGAGUGCUCCAGUGUGACACAUGGACAUCUUAACCAGUGCCUUAACUACUAUGGCAAACCCCUGCCACUAAGAUACAUAUUUUUAAAAUAAUGAAGAGCUUUGUCAUGGGCACAUCACAUUUAAGGGAGAAUUUCACACACACACACACACACACACACACACACACACACAGUUUAAUGCCAUUUGGAUCUAACCCUGAUCCUUUGGUCCAUCAAAAAUCUUCAACUACAGUGGAUUUUAUGUUCUCUCUACACCCCUGAUUGCACUAGGCAUCCCUCCUCACCACUCAUUGUCUUUAGUUCUCUGACUCCCUGACAAGACCUCCAGGCUCCACAAAGGCCUGGGACUAUUCCAUUUUGUUCAUUUUAUGCAUUUUCCAGUUCCUAGCUCAGUAUCUGAAUAUGGUAGAUCCAAUGCUCUUGACAAAUACUCUCAGAUAAAUGGCAAUGACAAUAAUGUAAUGACUAUAUUAAAACAUUAUGAAAAAUGUUCUUCAAUUUGCUAGUAAUUACAAGUGGCCUAUUGUGUUUUACAUGUUAAUUAGAUAGGAAAAGGGCCUGGAUAGGGUUCCUGGGUUCAGGCUUCAGGCUGGCCCAGCUCUGUGUGUUCCAGCCCUUUCAGGAGUAAACCAUCAGGUGGAAAGUCUCUCUGUCUUUCUGUUUCGCCCUCAGUCUCUAUGCCUUUCAAGUAAAUAAGUAAAUAGAAGAGGCCUUUGAAAAUUCAUGGAAAAUGGGAAUUUUGAAAAAAACUAUGCAUGGAUUUCAAGUUUUUUGCACCAAAUAAGCAUAUAUUUUAGUUUCAUAUUUCUGUACACAUCUUUUAAUUUCAUAUUUCUGAAGUUCCUUUUAUAUAACAAGUAUUUUAUAUCAUGAUUGUGACAUAUUUUACUUCACUUCAGUGUAUCCUUUUUUUUUUUUAAUAUUUAUUUAUUUAUUUAUUUGAAAGGCAGAGUUAGAGAGAGGCAGAGGCCAAGAGAGAGAGGUCUUCCAUCCACUGGUUCACACCCCAAAUAACCCUAAUGACCAGAGCUGAGCCUAUCCAAAGCCAAGAACCUGGAGCUUAUUCCAGAUCUCUCAUAGGGUGCAGGGACCCAAGCACUUGAUCCAACAGCUAGAUCUGGGCCGAUCUGGAGCCAGGAGCUUCCUGCAGGUCUCCCACAUGGGGGCUGGGGCCCAAGGACUUGUCCCAUCUUCCACUGCUUUUCCAGGCCAUAGCAGAGAGCUGGAUUGGAAGUGGAGCAGCUGGGACUUGAACUGGUGCCCAUAUGGGAUGCCAGCGCCACAGGCGGUGGUGUUACCCACUAUGCCACAGCACCUGGCCAGUCUGAAAUUUUAAAAAUUAUUUCUAUUUCUAUAUAAGAAUUAAAAUUAAUUUUUAGAAAUGAAAUUUCAAAUGCAAAUAGUCAUUUUGGGGUUAAACAAGAUGCAUAUUAAAUACUUCUUCCUAGCAAAGGCAAUACAAACCUAAGUGUUAAAAAAUUUCCUGUUAUUAAAUUUAUUUAAAAAAUUAUUCUGGGUGCCGGCACUGUGGCAUAGCAGGUAAAUCCAGUCUGUGACACCAGCCACCCCCUGUGGACACUGGUUUGAGUCCUGGCUGCUCCACUUCUAAUCUAGCUCCCUGUUCAUGCACCUGGGAAAGCAAUGGAAGAUGGCCAAAGGCCUUAAGGCUCCUGCACUUCCCGUGGGGACCUGGAAAAAGCUCCUGGCUCCUGGCUUUGGAUAGGCUCAGCUCCCGCCGUUUUGGCCAUCUGGGGAGUGAACCAGCAGGUGGAAGACCUCUCUCUCUCUCUCUCUGACUCUCUGGAACUCUGCCUUUCAAAUAAAAUAAAUAAGUCUUUUUUUUAAAGUUCAUGGAAAAUGGAAUUAAAUUUUUUUUUCUGAAAAUGGAGUCCUAGAAUUAUUAAAACUCGAGUUUGUUCUGGCAAAAGACCCGUUAGAGGAAUAUCCUCCCUCGAAGCUUCGGUUCUUUGCGAGCCCUGCCCCGCUCCUUCGCCUUUUAAAGACAGUAGCCCUAAGAACAUCAGCAUGGCGCAGCUGGGGAUUUGAGGGACAGAGAAGGAAACUUAAGUUUUUAUGUGGCCAGGAAGUGAAGCAAGGGCUAACUUCAGAAAGGCACUGAUGACGCGGAGUCCUCUCUAAAAGUCUCUCGGGAAACGUUUGCUAGGCCUAGGUCGGCCUACCAGGGGCAGGACCCCUGGGAGAAUCAGGCGGUCCUGGAAGAAGCUCCGGCGUAGACGACAAAAACUACACUUCCCACAGUGCUGUGCGCGGGCCCUGGCGCGCUCUCCCCCACCCACCCACCCACCCCCGACCACGGCCCCGGAGACCCCGCUUGCCAGGGCUGAGGUGCGAGGAUGCCGGGCAGCAGCUCGAGUUCGGCUGGGUAGCGUAGUUCAACUGCAGGGUCGCUGGGGCUGCGGAAAGGCGCCGAGGCCGCGGGAGCGGGUUUUGCAGCCUGUGCUUAGGCAGCUCGGAGAGGAGCACCGAUCCAGGUGGAGAAAGCACACGUCAAGAAGAGCAGUGCCACCUGCACAAGGACCACCAGCCCGCGGAGCAGGAGUGAGAGAGGGCAGCGAUCGCUUCUCUCGGGAAGACCUCAAGCUGCUCUGUCUCCCAGAAACCUAGAGCUGGAUUUCAAACAUCUACUAGCACACCACAGGAUUGGGUGCACCUAGAACUGAAGAACAUGUACAGAUGACAGCACACAGCAUCAACAUCACCAUCAUCAUCAACAGCUAAAAGAGGCCUAAAAACCACCUGGGACGAUAAAGAACCUCAUUGGCCAUCUGUUGGAGGAGACCCUAGAAGGAGGCCUGCUGUUCCUCCCAAAUCAGCAAGUCUGUGAUUUCCAUGUGCUGGGCAAAGUGCUUCUACAAUGCUUUCCUACAAAACGGCCAGAUGGAAGAACACCUGAUUCACACAGCUUAUCUUGGAGACAUUUUCAUAGCAGCCCACGAAGAUCUGCAUCCUGCAACUGCCACCGUUCAGAGUCAUGAAGGGAGAAGGGUGUGGCGAGGGAGGCCUGGAUCCAGAAGGAAGGUUUUACAGCUCUUCUGAUGCCCAGUAUUUGGAUAGAUUCAGCAACAUCAAAAUAUGAGCUGGAAAGAUACAGAAAAAUAAUGCAAGAAAAUAAGGCAUGGCACAGCAAACAACAGGUGGCUCUGUGAUAUGCAGUUUGGGAAGCAGACACACUCCCUGAAGUAUUCCUGCCUGGUGUUUUGAAAAAAUAAACAAAAAUUGACACAUCAUUGGCCCAACUAUUCAAAAAAGGAGAGAGAAGAUCCAAAUCAAUAAAAUUAGAUAUGAAAAAGGAAAUCUAAUGAUAGACACCACAGAAAUAAAAAGAAUCACUAGAUAUAAAGAGCUGUAUACCAACAGAAGAAAUGGACAGAUUCGUGGACACAUACAAACUACCUAAAUUGAGCCAUGAAUACAUAGAAAACCUAAACAGACCCAUAACCAAGAUGGAAAUUGAAUCAGUAAUAAAGGCCCUCCCAUAAAAGAAAAGCCCAGGACGGACCAGAUGGAUUUACUGCUGAAUUCUACCAGACAUUUAAAGAAGAACUAACUUCAAUCCUUCUCAAGCUAUUCAAAAUAAUUGAAAGGGAGGGAAUUCUCCCAAAUUCUUUCUAUGAAGCCAGCAUUACCUUAAUUCCUAAACCUGAAAAAGAUGCAACAGAAAAAGAGAAUUACAGAUCAAUUUCCCUGAUGAACAUCGAUGCAAAACUCCUCAAUAAAAUUCUAGCCAAUCAAAUCCAACAACAUAUCAGAGAGAUCUCCCACCCAGACCAAGUGGGAUUUAUUCCUGGUAUACAGGGAUGGUUCAACAUUCUCAAAUCAAUCAUUGUGAUACAUCACAUUAACAAGUCGAGGAACAAAAACCAUAUGAUUAUCUCAAUACAUGUGGAGAAAGCAUUUGAUAAAAUACAAUACCCUUGUAUGGUGAAAACUCUAAGCAAACUGGGUAUAGAAGGAACAUUCCUCAACAUAGUCAAGGCAAUUUAUGACAAACCCAUGGCCAGCAUCCUACUGAAUGGGGAAAAGUUGGAAGCAUUCCCACUGAGUUCCAGUACCAGAUAGGGAUGCCCACUCUCUUCAUUGCUAUUUAGUAUAGUCCUGAAAGUUUUAGCCAGAGCCAUUAGGCAAGAAAAAGAAAUCAAAGGGAUACAAAUUGGGGAGGAGGAAGUUAAACUAACCCUAUCUGCAGAUGACCUGAUUCUAUAUAUAGAGGAUCCAAAAAACUCCACUAAGAGACUAUUGGAACUCAUAGAAGAGUUUGGUAAAGUAGCAGGAUAUAAAGUCAAUACAAAAAAACCAACAGCCUUUGUAUACACCGACAACACCACAGCGGAGAAAGAACUUCUUAGAUUAAUUUCAUUCACAAUAGCUACAAAAAAUUCAAAUAAAUUGGAAUAAAUUUAACCAAGGAUGUCAAAGAGCUCUACAAUGAGAAUUAGAAAACAUUAAAGAUAGAAGAUCUAGAAAAAAAUAUGAAAUUCAUAUGGAGGCACAGGAGACCUUGAAUAGCUAAAACAAUCUCAUACAACAAAAAUAAAACCAGAAACAUUAGAAUAUCGGAUUUCAAGACAUACUACAAGGCAUUUAUAAUCAAAACAGCCUAGUACUGGUAUAAAAAUAGAUGGAUAGACCAAUGGAACAGAAUAGAAACAUCAGAAAUCAACCCAAACAUCUACAACCAACUUUUAUUUGAUCAAGGAGCUAAAACUAAUCCUUGGAGCAAGGACAGUCUCUUCAACAAAUGGUGCUGGGAAAACUGGAUUUCCACAUGCAGAAGCAUGAAGCAAGACCCCUACCUUACACCUUACACAAAAAUCCACUCAAAAUGGAUUAAAGAUCUAAAUCUAUGAUUUGAUACCAUCAAAUUAUUAGAGAACAUUGGAGAAACCCUGCAAGACAUUGGCACAGGAAAAUACUUCUUGGAAAAGACCCCAGAGGCACAGGCAGUCAAAGCCAAUAUUAACAAAUGGGAUUACAUCAAAUCGAGAAGUUUCUGUACGGCAAAAGAAAUAGUCAGGAAAGUGAAGAGGACACCAACAGAAUGGGAGAAAUUAUUUGCAAAUUAUGUAAUUGAUAGAAGAUUAAUAACCAAAAUCUACAAAGAAAUCAAGAAACUCCACAACAACAAAAUAAACAACCCAGUUUAGAGAUGGGCCAAGGACUUAGACAUUUUUCAAGAGAGGAAAUCCAAAUGGCCAAUAGAUACAUGAAAAAAUGUUCAGGAUCACUAGCCAUCAGAGAAAUGGAAAUCAAAACCAUAAUGAGGUUUCACCUCACCCCAGUGAGAAACAGCUUUCAUACAGAAAUCAACAAACAACAAAUGCUGGCAAGGAUAUGGGGAAAAAGGUACCCUAACCCACUGUUGGUGGGAAUGAAAACUGGUAAAGGCAUUAUGGAAUACAGUUUGGAGAUACCUCAGAAAUCUGAAUAUAAUCCUACCAUAUGACCCAGCCAUCCCACUACUCAGAAUUUACCCAAGGGAAAUUAAAUUGGCAAAUAAAAGAGCUAUUUGUAUUUCCAUGUUUACUGCAGCUCAAUUCACAUAGCUAAGACAUGGAAUCAACCUAAAUGCUCAUUAACAGAAGACUGGAUAAAGAAAUUAUAGAAUAUGUACUCCAUGGAAUACUAUACAGCAGUAAAAAAAAUCUAGUCAUUUGCAACAAAAUGGAUGAAUCUGGAAAACACCAUACUUAGCGAAAUAAGCCAGUCCCAUAGGGGCAAGUAUCAUAUGUUCUCCCUAAUCUGUGACAGCAAAGAGAACACCUAAAAGGAAACCUGUGGAAGUGAAAUUGACGCUAUGAGAAGCAAUGACUUGAACAGCCCUAGUCUUGACUGUUGAGGAAUGGUUUAUUAUUUUAUUUUUUUUACUAUUUUCUUUUUCUACUUAAUACCAUUGGUUAAAUUCUUUACUUAACACAGAAUUAUUCAUAGGUGUUUAAAUCCAAUUGAAAAGAGAUCCCAGUAAAAAAUAAGAGUGGGAAUAAGAAAGAGAGGAGCUGUACAGUUCGGCACACAUUCCCACAGACUUACCCUUAAGAGGAAAGCUAAAAACUUGCCAUGGGACACCAAAUCCCAUUAAGCUGGGUGGUACUGAUGCCAUCUUACAUGUUAAAGUGAUCAUUUUAAGUGUGUAACGGAUCAUAUAGAUAGAAUUAAGUGUUAAAGGGAUCACACAAUAAGACAAAGUGUCUGGUAAUAACAAUUGAUAGAAUUAAAAAGGAGAGAAUGAUCCAACAUGGGAAGCAGGCCACACAGCAGACUCAUAGAAUGACAAACGCCUUAAGCAGAACUCUGACCUCAGAAUCAGCCCUUAAGGCAUUCGGAUCUGGCUGAAAAGCCCAUGAGAACAUUUCAGGCAUGGAAAGCAAAGACACCGUGGCAAAAAAUGAUCUACACGAAGGAUCUCUGUGAGAAAGGGACCAUCAAAGAAGGAUGUACUUUUCUCUGAAGGGAGGAGAGAACUUCCACUUUGAAUAUGGCCCUGUCUAAAUAAGAUUGGAGUUGGUGAACUCAAGAGGCUUCCAUAGCCUUGGUAGCUCAUGACAAGAGCCUCAGGUGAUGAAUGAUAUCAUAAAUAAGAGUGCUAAUUGUUAAAUCAACAACAGGAGUCACUGUGCACUUGCUCCCCAUGAGGGACCUCUGUCCUUCAUGAGUUGUACUAUGAGAAUUGACAGUAAAACUUGUCUUCAAACAGUACUUUAUACUUUGUGUGUCUGUGUGGGUGCAAACUGUUGAAAUCUUAGUAUAUACUAAAUUGAUCUUCUGUAUAUAAAGGUAAUUAAAAAUGAAUCCUAAUGAAGAAUGGGAUGGGAGAGGGAGUGGGAGGCAGGAUGGGAAUGGGGGUGGGAGGGUGGGUAUGGGGGAAGAACCGUUAUAUUCCUAAAGCUGUACCUAUGAAAUUUGUACUCAUUAAAUAAAAGCUUUCUAAAAAAACAGUAGUGCUAAGGAGGCUAGAAGUCCAUCAUCAGGCAACCCCCCUGUUUCAGCCUUUCUUCCUGGCUUGUGGACAAUAUCUUCUCACUGUGCCACUGCAUGAGAAAGAGGAACAGGUCAGGGCUUCAACAUGGGAGCCUGGUGAGUACACAAUUCAGUCCAUAGCAGUCUAUUUUCAUUCAUUUCCUUGAAAACUACCCUUUCCACCUUAAAUAUCCAGUAGAAGAGAGAGUAUGAUUUUCUUCAUUUCUUCCCUCAAAUUUCUAAAAUGUCUAUAUGGAAAAAAGGUUGUGUAGUGGCAAAGGCAGGAACUAUGGAAUCAAACUAUGUGCUUUUAGAUCCCUCUUCAUUAUUUCCUAUGGAUAUGACCUGGAAAAUCAAUUAUUCUAAUAAAGCCUCCAUGUCUUCAUCUGUAAAACAGAGAUGAUGGUCAAAGUACCUCAGAGGGUUGUCCUGACUUUUACUGAGCUAAUAGUACCAAAAAACUCAGUCUGGUCCCAACUUGAUCUGGCUGGGUGGGAAUGAACAGUCUAUGGCAGAGUGAUAACAGUUACUAUCAUCACAAUAAGUAAUGUGAUCUACGAAGUUAACACAGUGCUGAGGGGGUACCAUGGUCAUCAUGAUUCCAUUCCUAAUGUUUCCAGUGACCUCUGCUGGGGGAAGCUAAGAAAGGAGAAGACCAUCAUGUUGUUCCAAAGGGGAACACACUGUUGUUGCUACUGAUGCAGUCUUAGCAUUCAUUGCCGACAGCCUGCUGAGCUAUUUUAUACAAUGUAACUGGGCGUGAUUGGUGAUAAUACUAGAAUAGGCAUGGGUUAUCAGCUAAGCUUGCUACGUGUCAUCGUGUCUAACUGUGUUCCUAGAGUGUUCUUUGGGCUAAAAGCAAAAUGCCCCUCAGCAGCUGCAGAGGGAAUCAAUGCAAGAGACACGGGGCUUCGGAAAGGGAGAAGACAACAGCGCUGGGAGAGUGCAGACUGCCCUGUGGGAGGAUCAGCACCCCAGCUCCCCUGACUGCCGGUGGGGUCCAAGGGCUAUAAUGUUUCUUCCCAACCUUCCUACAUGGUUUUCUGCAUCUGCCUAGCCCAUGGCCUAAUCCCAAUGUGUACUUCUUAAAACUUUCUGAGUGUGUACUGUUGAAAUCUUUGGGACAAUAUGUUAAGAUGUUUUAGUUAUGUUUUUCUGAAUAGACUAUAGAUGAGACUGCUGCUGCAGUCUCCUCUCUCUUCCCUCCCUCUGGUCCAUCUCAAGAAGCAAAAGGUGGUCAGAGCUAUGGUGCAGAGGGUUAAGCCACCAUCUGCAGUGCAGUAUCCCAUAUGAGUUCAAGUCUCAGCUGCUCUACUUCCAAUGCAGUUCCCUGCUAAUGUGCUUGAGAAAGCAGCAGAUGAUGGUCCAAGUGUGUGGAUUACAUGGGAGACCCGGAUGAAGCUCCUGGCUCCUGGCUUCAGCCUGUCCCAGCCUUUGUCAUUGUAGGCAUUUGGGAAAUGAACCAGCCAAAGAAAGAUUCUCUCUCUUUGUCUCUCCCUCUCUUACUGUAACUCUUUCAAAUAAAUAAAUAAAUAAAUCCUUAAAA
This is a non-coding RNA of Oryctolagus cuniculus (rabbit), 15542 nucleotides long. Lineage: Eukaryota; Metazoa; Chordata; Mammalia; Lagomorpha; Leporidae. The record is from RefSeq and is a predicted model, not a curated record.